This 90-nucleotide transfer RNA is filed under the name Ameiurus melas (black bullhead). It matches the Rfam family "tRNA". From Rfam's summary of the family: Transfer RNA (tRNA) molecules are approximately 80 nucleotides in length. The record is from Rfam by way of RNAcentral. Lineage: Eukaryota; Metazoa; Chordata; Actinopteri; Siluriformes; Ictaluridae.
GGCUCUGUGGCACAAUGGAUAGUGUGUUGGACUUCUAAGCUUAGCAUUAGAGCUAUUUAAAGGUUUUGGGUUCGAGUGCCACCAGAGUCA